GACGAACGCUGGCGGCGUGCCUAAUACAUGCAAGUUGAGCGCUGAAGGUUGGUACUUGUACCAACUGGAUGAGCAGCGAACGGGUGAGUAACGCGUGGGGAAUCUGCCUUGGAGCGGGGGCAACAUUUGGAAACGAAUGCUAAUACCGCAUAAAAACUUUAAACACAAGUUUUAAGUUUGAAAGAUGCAAUUGCAUCACUCAAAGAUGAUCCCGCGUUGUAUUAGCUAGUUGGUGAGGUAAAGGCUCACCAAGGCGAUGAUACAUAGCCGACCUGAGAGGGUGAUCGGCCACCUUGGGACUGAGACACGGCCCAAACUCCUACGGGAGGCAGCAGUAGGGAAUCUUCGGCAAUGGACGAAAGUCUGACCGAGCACCGCCGCGUGAGUGAAGAAGGUUUUCGGAUCGUAAAACUCUGUUGGUAGAGAAGAACGUUGGUGAGAGUGGAAAGCUCAUCAAGUGACGUUAACUACACAGAAAGGGACGGCUAACUACGUG
Molecule: ribosomal RNA, 496 nt
Filed under: uncultured bacterium
Lineage: Bacteria
Description: partial 16S ribosomal RNA
Rfam family: Bacterial small subunit ribosomal RNA
Source: RNAcentral